GCGUCUCCAACCCUGAACUCAGUCCGGGAGCCCAGGUGUGAACAGCCUCGUCAUCCCGUUAUCCUCCAUAUGUGACGUGUGGAUCAAAGUGUGCGAAGGGAAAACAUGGACGCUAAUCUGCUUACCGCUAAGGGGCAGACAAUACAGGUGAUGGAUGGGAAAACCCAACGCCAAAGGGGGAAGGGUGUAGUCUACUGAAUCCUGUUAUACAAAAAAGUACUUUCUGUACCUUGGAGCUUUGUUAUUUCAAAAUACCAAACUAUUUUUCGUUUGACGAAUGCUUUUUUUUUGCUUUUUAUCUCAGAGGAAGAGAUUUUUUUAAACCACUUUCAGCCGUCACUUAUCACCACCAGGAACCAAUAGCAUAGCCUAAUAUGGUAUACCACCUUCAGAGGAUGGAUUAUUACUUUUACUCAGUAAAAUUAAUUUUGGAUGACAAUAAAUUAAAUAUUCAGUUGAUGGAAUUGUGCAAGUUGUUCUGUACAGUACAUAUUUCACAUUCAAUAUCUUUUUUAUUGACGCAAAGCCCAACCCAGCCUUAAGUUUUCUAUUUUUGGAGUAGAGGAGAACGAGACACUGUGCUAAUGCUUGUUUUCAUGCCACAUGAGACCCCCAAGGACCCACAGACAAGCAGCGCCAUCUCUGAGAAGAGGUGACUGAGUUCAAGACAGAAAGUCAGGUGGAACGGAGUGUUUGCCGCUCGAAAAAGAGGUGUCUGACGUUACUCGGCUUAGCCCGAUUUUUACCUCAGGUUUCCUGCAACACCUCUUCCUGACUUCGUAGGACAACAGAGAACACAAGCAACUCCCGCGCACGCAGCAAAAGGUCACAUUAAGCCAAAAGGAGGAGCAGAUGAAGCCGCAACUCGAGGAAAAUUGACUGAAUUGAACACAGACCUGCCCCUGGCAUGACAGAUAAUGUCGUGCCUGUGGACUCCCAGGCACAGCCAGCUAAUGGAAUACUCAGGCCGAAAAACCGCGGGCACCCUGACAAAAUCCCGAGUUCAGGUGGGAGGCGGGAAACCCAUUGCUCAAGAACAAACAAAAGAGGAACAAGAAAAAGAGUCUACCAGGAGAACAAAGAAAUCCAGUGAGCGUCUUCCUAAAACAAACAGCAAGUAUCAGUGAUUAGGGUCAAUAUGUUUUCCAGCCCGGGGAACAUUAAUUAGAGGAAGCCUGCGAGUGAUUCCUAGGGAAUUCAUUGUGCGCUAAUGCAUUAUUAGGCCUGGAUGAAUGGGACUCUGCAGAGCCAAUUCACCCCUCCAUCUGUCCCACCCCCCCUCCCCCAACCACCAACUGUAGGGCCAUCCCAUGGCCUUUACGCAUUUUGGCAACGCAAACCGUAUUUGCUGAAAUGCACAGGAAAUUAGUGUUACUUAAUGUGGGUUGACUGGCCUCUAAUACUUGAGGGGUUUUUUUAAUGCUGGAAAUGGUUCUUCCAGGGCACAGGUUAAUGGUCUGUAAAUAUUACACACUUCUGGGAAGAUUACAGGAAGUAUAGUACAUAUUUAUUUCA
Molecule: long non-coding RNA, 1515 nt
Organism: Anguilla rostrata (American eel)
Lineage: Eukaryota; Metazoa; Chordata; Actinopteri; Anguilliformes; Anguillidae
Exons: 3
Source: RefSeq, a predicted model, not a curated record